UCAGACUGGAUCAAGUGCAAAGAAAGAUGGAAUUAUGUGCUCCAAUCCACUGUCGCUGGAACUCAUACCUUUAUCUCGCUGAGGUGAAACUACUCACAGUGGAAAUUUUAUGAGCGUUAAAUAGGAAAAGAAAUAGGCUGGUAAUAUUCAAUGUGAGUCAAACUCUGAAAGAAUGAAAGAAUGAAUUGUGAAUUGCUCCUGUGUCAUAUUAACAAAU
Molecule: long non-coding RNA, 217 nt
Organism: Lagopus leucura (white-tailed ptarmigan)
Lineage: Eukaryota; Metazoa; Chordata; Aves; Galliformes; Phasianidae
Exons: 3
Source: RefSeq, a predicted model, not a curated record